Mytilus californianus (California mussel) is the source of this 450-nucleotide long non-coding RNA. RefSeq lists it as uncharacterized. NCBI's taxonomy places the organism in Eukaryota, Metazoa, Mollusca, Bivalvia, Mytilida, Mytilidae. The record is from RefSeq and is a predicted model, not a curated record. The transcript is spliced from 5 exons.
GGUCAAUUUUGUGAACAUCUUGUUACGAAAUGUUUUCACUCUUUUUGACAUCCAUUUAUUUGCAUAUGAUAGCAUGUUCGGAUCUAAAUAUUAGCGGAAUUUGUCCAGCCAUAGUUGGCAAAAACACAUCCCAGAAAGUUGGCAUUUAUUUGAACUGUUGUCCCAACUUCUACAUUGAGAAUAAUAUUUGCACCCCAUGUCCAGCUGGAAGGUAUGGCAAGAAAUGUAAAGAAAAAUGUGUAUCAAAUUACUACGGUAGCCUGUGUAAACAAAUGUGUAAUUGUUCUUUGAACGAGAUAUGCAAUAAUGUGUACGGCUGCAUAUGUAAAGACAGCAGUAACUGUUCAGAUCGUGAGUACAUGUAUAAAUCCAAGACAGAUAUGUUUAAUGGUGACCACGAUACUUUGCCAACAACAAUGAAUACAUGGACAACAGAAGGAUCACUUCCAU